Molecule: ribosomal RNA, 229 nt
Filed under: uncultured bacterium
Lineage: Bacteria
Description: partial 16S ribosomal RNA
Rfam family: Bacterial small subunit ribosomal RNA
Source: RNAcentral
UCCGUAGGCGGGCAAUUAAGUCAGAGGUGAAAUCCCACAGCUUAACUGUGGAACUGCCUUAGAUACUGAUGAUCUUGAGUUUUAGUGAAGUAGAUAGAAUGUGUAGUGUAGCGGUGAAAUGCAUAGAUAUUACACAGAAUACCGAUUGCGAAGGCAGUCUACUAACUAACAACUGACGCUAAUGGACGAAAGCGUGGGGAGCGAACAGGAUUAGAUACCCUGGUAGUCC